Molecule: transfer RNA, 67 nt
Filed under: Protelpidia murrayi
Lineage: Eukaryota; Metazoa; Echinodermata; Holothuroidea; Elasipodida; Elpidiidae
Also listed under: 4 other names
Description: tRNA-Leu
Source: RNAcentral
AUUUAAGUAGCAAAGUAUAAUGCCAUAGAUUUAGGUUCUAUUAUCAAAGAUAUAUCUUUCUUAAAUU